AGUGAACGCUGGCGGUAGGCCUAACACAUGCCAGUCGAACGGCAGCACAGUAAGAGCUUGCUCUUACGGGUGGCGAGUGGCGGACGGGUGAGGAAUACAUCGGAAUCUACUUUUUCGUGGGGGAUAACGUAGGGAAACUUACGCUAAUACCGCAUACGACCUACGGGUGAAAGCAGGGGAUCUUCGGACCUUGCGCGAUUGAAUGAGCCGAUGUCGGAUUAGCUAGUUGGCGGGGUAAAGGCCCACCAAGGCGACGAUCCGUAGCUGGUCUGAGAGGAUGAUCAGCCACACUGGAACUGAGACACGGUCCAGACUCCUACGGGAGGCAGCAGUGGGGAAUAUUGGACAAUGGGCGCAUGCCUGAUCCAGCCAUACCGCGUGGGUGAAGAAGGCCUUCGGGUUGUAAAGCCCUUUUGUUGGGAAAGAAAAGCAGCAGGUUAAUACCCCGCUGUUCUGACGGUACCCAAAGAAUAAGCACCGGCUAACUUCGUG
Molecule: ribosomal RNA, 492 nt
Filed under: uncultured bacterium
Lineage: Bacteria
Description: partial 16S ribosomal RNA
Rfam family: Bacterial small subunit ribosomal RNA
Source: RNAcentral